AUGUCUUCGUCCUUAGGUGUAUUGGCUUGGAAUGUAAGGGGGCUUAAUAACCCUACCCGAAGGAGUUUGAUUAGGCUAUUCAUGCAAUCCCUCGAUGUUUCUCUAGUUUGCUUUCAAGAGUCCAAGUUAGCGCUGGUGAAUGAAUCUGUGGUUCGAGAGACUUUGGGACUGGGCUUUGAUGGUUUUGAUUUCUUGCCUGCUGAAGGUACCAGAGGAGGUAUUUUGUUGGCCUAG
Molecule: ribosomal RNA, 234 nt
Filed under: Triticum aestivum (bread wheat)
Lineage: Eukaryota; Viridiplantae; Streptophyta; Magnoliopsida; Poales; Poaceae
Description: partial small subunit ribosomal RNA
Source: RNAcentral